AUUGAACGCUGGCGGCAGGCCUAACACAUGCAAGUCGAGCGGAUGACAGGAGCUUGCUCCUGAAUUCAGCGGCGGACGGGUGAGUAAUGCCUAGGAAUCUGCCUGGUAGUGGGGGACAAC
Molecule: ribosomal RNA, 120 nt
Filed under: uncultured bacterium
Lineage: Bacteria
Description: partial 16S ribosomal RNA
Rfam family: Bacterial small subunit ribosomal RNA
Source: RNAcentral